GCCUGGCUGGCUUAGUCAGUAGAGCAUAUGACUCUUGAUCUCAGGGUCCUGAGUUCAGACCCCAGGUUGGGCA
This 73-nucleotide transfer RNA is filed under the name Ailuropoda melanoleuca (giant panda). It matches the Rfam family "tRNA". Rfam says of the family: Transfer RNA (tRNA) molecules are approximately 80 nucleotides in length. The record is from Rfam by way of RNAcentral. Lineage: Eukaryota; Metazoa; Chordata; Mammalia; Carnivora; Ursidae.